UGCCUGAAACUAAAUAGUUUCUUUGCGAGAAUCUUACGUUUUGUUUUAAAACCUUUCUGAAUCUUAACUGAUGUAAAAGAAAAGCUGAAUUAUGUGGCAUGAUUUUCACAUUAACCGCAACAAAAUCCUACUCCAAUAGGUCCUACUGACAAUUCUCGCAAAACUAAUGCAUAUGCCCAAUAUAAUAACAACCUCGCCUAACAAUUGACUCUCCUUUACCUUUCCAGUUCGCAUGGCAUGUUGUUGCGAAAAUAAGUUGUGCUUUUGACGACUUUCCACUGACUUUGCCGCAAUUCAAUUCCGUUGCAUACACUUUUUCCAGGUACAGUACUGCCCAAGACAUCAGAAUUAGAAUCCUUAAAAAUCGAAUAAAAGAAAACCAAAGCACG
Long non-coding RNA from Drosophila erecta, 389 nucleotides. RefSeq lists it as uncharacterized. The transcript is spliced from 2 exons. The record is from RefSeq and is a predicted model, not a curated record. Lineage: Eukaryota; Metazoa; Arthropoda; Insecta; Diptera; Drosophilidae.